Molecule: non-coding RNA, 65 nt
Organism: Phytophthora pseudosyringae
Lineage: Eukaryota; Oomycota; Peronosporomycetes; Peronosporales; Peronosporaceae
Source: the annotation of a GenBank genome assembly
GCUCGGGUAGCUUAGUGGGAAAGCUCCGCAAUGGGAUGACGGAAGUUCAAUUCCUCCCGCGAGCA